RNAcentral lists this ribosomal RNA (1540 nucleotides) under Staphylococcus aureus M0696. RNAcentral's name for it is "16S ribosomal RNA". It matches the Rfam family "Bacterial small subunit ribosomal RNA". Lineage: Bacteria; Bacillati; Bacillota; Bacilli; Caryophanales; Staphylococcaceae. The record is from RNAcentral.
AGAGUUUGAUCCUGGCUCAGGAUGAACGCUGGCGGCGUGCCUAAUACAUGCAAGUCGAGCGAACGGACGAGAAGCUUGCUUCUCUGAUGUUAGCGGCGGACGGGUGAGUAACACGUGGAUAACCUACCUAUAAGACUGGGAUAACUUCGGGAAACCGGAGCUAAUACCGGAUAAUAUUUUGAACCGCAUGGUUCAAAAGUGAAAGACGGUCUUGCUGUCACUUAUAGAUGGAUCCGCGCUGCAUUAGCUAGUUGGUAAGGUAACGGCUUACCAAGGCAACGAUGCAUAGCCGACCUGAGAGGGUGAUCGGCCACACUGGAACUGAGACACGGUCCAGACUCCUACGGGAGGCAGCAGUAGGGAAUCUUCCGCAAUGGGCGAAAGCCUGACGGAGCAACGCCGCGUGAGUGAUGAAGGUCUUCGGAUCGUAAAACUCUGUUAUUAGGGAAGAACAUAUGUGUAAGUAACUGUGCACAUCUUGACGGUACCUAAUCAGAAAGCCACGGCUAACUACGUGCCAGCAGCCGCGGUAAUACGUAGGUGGCAAGCGUUAUCCGGAAUUAUUGGGCGUAAAGCGCGCGUAGGCGGUUUUUUAAGUCUGAUGUGAAAGCCCACGGCUCAACCGUGGAGGGUCAUUGGAAACUGGAAAACUUGAGUGCAGAAGAGGAAAGUGGAAUUCCAUGUGUAGCGGUGAAAUGCGCAGAGAUAUGGAGGAACACCAGUGGCGAAGGCGACUUUCUGGUCUGUAACUGACGCUGAUGUGCGAAAGCGUGGGGAUCAAACAGGAUUAGAUACCCUGGUAGUCCACGCCGUAAACGAUGAGUGCUAAGUGUUAGGGGGUUUCCGCCCCUUAGUGCUGCAGCUAACGCAUUAAGCACUCCGCCUGGGGAGUACGACCGCAAGGUUGAAACUCAAAGGAAUUGACGGGGACCCGCACAAGCGGUGGAGCAUGUGGUUUAAUUCGAAGCAACGCGAAGAACCUUACCAAAUCUUGACAUCCUUUGACAACUCUAGAGAUAGAGCCUUCCCCUUCGGGGGACAAAGUGACAGGUGGUGCAUGGUUGUCGUCAGCUCGUGUCGUGAGAUGUUGGGUUAAGUCCCGCAACGAGCGCAACCCUUAAGCUUAGUUGCCAUCAUUAAGUUGGGCACUCUAAGUUGACUGCCGGUGACAAACCGGAGGAAGGUGGGGAUGACGUCAAAUCAUCAUGCCCCUUAUGAUUUGGGCUACACACGUGCUACAAUGGACAAUACAAAGGGCAGCGAAACCGCGAGGUCAAGCAAAUCCCAUAAAGUUGUUCUCAGUUCGGAUUGUAGUCUGCAACUCGCCUACAUGAAGCUGGAAUCGCUAGUAAUCGUAGAUCAGCAUGCUACGGUGAAUACGUUCCCGGGUCUUGUACACACCGCCCGUCACACCACGAGAGUUUGUAACACCCGAAGCCGGUGGAGUAACCUUUUAGGAGCUAGCCGUCGAAGGUGGGACAAAUGAUUGGGGUGAAGUCGUAACAAGGUAGCCGUAUCGGAAGGUGCGGCUGGAUCACCU